CACUAAGGUGGUGAAGUUGUUGAUGCCCUACUUCCAGGAAAAGCCUCUAAGCUUCAGUUCAUACUGAAUCGUACCCUAAACCGACACAGGUGGUCAGGUAGAGAAUACUAAGGCGCUUGAGAGAACUCGGGUGAAGGAACUAGGCAAAAUUGUACCGUAACUUCGGGAGAAGGUACGCUCUUGUUUGUGAAGGACUUGCUCUGUAAGCAAACGAGAGCCGCAGUGACCAGGUGGCUGGGACUGUUUAUUAAAAACACAGCACUGUGCAAAAUCGUAAGAUGACGUAUACGGUGUGACACCUGCCCGGUGCCGGAAGGUUAAUUGAUGGGGUUAGCUUAGGCGAAGCUCUUGAUCGAAGCCCCGGUAAACGGCGGCCGUAACUAUAACGGUCCUAAGGUAGCGAAAUUCCUUGUCGGGUAAGUUCCGACCUGCACGAAUGGUGUAACCAUGGCCACGCUGUCUCCACCCGAGACUCAGUGAAAUUGAAAUCGCAGUGAAGAUGCUGUGUACCCGCGGCUAGACGGAAAGACCCCGUGAACCUUUACUACAGCUUGGCACUGAACAUUGACCCUACAUGUGUAGGAUAGGUGGGAGGCUUUGAAGCAGGAACGCUAGUUUCUGUGGAGCCGACCUUGAAAUACCACCCUUGUAGUGUUGAUGUUCUAACUUAGGCCCCUGAAUCGGGGUUGAGGACAGUGCCUGGUGGGUAGUUUGACUGGGGCGGUCUCCUCCCAAAGAGUAACGGAGGAGCACGAAGGUUUGCUAAGUACGGUCGGACAUCGUACGGUUAGUGUAAUGGUAGAAGCAAGCUUAACUGCGAGACAGACACGUCGAGCAGGUACGAAAGUAGGUCAUAGUGAUCCGGUGGUUCUGAAUGGAAGGGCCAUCGCUCAACGGAUAAAAGGUACUCCGGGGAUAACAGGCUGAUACCGCCCAAGAGUUCAUAUCGACGGCGGUGUUUGGCACCUCGAUGUCGGCUCAUCACAUCCUGGGGCUGAAGUCGGUCCCAAGGGUAUGGCUG
Molecule: ribosomal RNA, 1021 nt
Filed under: Pseudoalteromonas flavipulchra JG1
Lineage: Bacteria; Pseudomonadati; Pseudomonadota; Gammaproteobacteria; Alteromonadales; Pseudoalteromonadaceae
Description: bacterial LSU rRNA
Rfam family: Bacterial large subunit ribosomal RNA
Source: RNAcentral